Molecule: long non-coding RNA, 2730 nt
Filed under: Ovis aries (sheep)
Lineage: Eukaryota; Metazoa; Chordata; Mammalia; Artiodactyla; Bovidae
Description: lncRNA (ENSOARG00000026482.1)
Source: RNAcentral
AGCAGGGCCACUCCCCGGGCCAGUCUGGCUCCAGGCAGGCGCAGAGUGGACACACGGACUCUGGGCACCCAGGAACAGGGGCCUGGGGACAAGGCCGCGGCCCUGCCCCUCAGCGUGGGCUGGAGCAGAGGCGGGAAGCGUUGGGCCUCAAUCCCUGAGGUGUCGGGGGCUUCCCCCGUUCCUGCCCAGAGUCUGGCCCAGAAUGUGGUGGCGGGGGGGGGCCGUGGAGCUGCGCCUCUGGCCAAGCCCCUCCGAGGCCUCGGGCAGCCCCCAGGUGCCCUGCCGGACCCACUCACUGUGUGUCUGGCCCGGAGAGGGGUCAGCGCCCCCACAGAUGCUGAACCAAGCGGCCCAGAGUGGGCUCAGCCCACCCCCCGCAGGCCUGGCGGUCACCAGGGCUCUGCCUCGGAAAGAACAAGCACAGCGUUGCAGGGUCCCAGGGCGGCCUGGGUGCUUUAUUCAUGGCGGCCCAGGAGGCAUGCACACAGGGAGGGGCUAGGGCGUCCUGGCUGGACCUGGAGCCCGGGGAGGGCGGGCUGGGGGGGGGGGUGGUGGGGGGGUGGGGCACACNNNNNNNNNNNNNNNNNNNNNNNNNNNNNNNNNNNNNNNNNNNNNNNNNNNNNNNNNNNNNNNNNNNNNNNNNNNNNNNNNNNNNNNNNNNNNNNNNNNNUCCUGGACCGGCAUGCAGCGUGUGGACAUGUGUCCGGGGCCAGCAGGGCAGCUGUUAGGCUUCCAGAGCCCUGGGGCCCCCGACACGGAGCGGCCGAGUCCUUGCUGCCCGGCACCUCUGGGGCUGCCCCUCCACUUCCUGCCCUGUGUUCUGGCCGCUCAGAUGGAGCCCUGGGACCAUGUGACUCACCACCAGUGUCCAGGCUGCAGCUGCCAUUGAGGAGCGUCCGGGAGGCCUCGUGGCUGACCACACAGGUGUAGGUGGACCCCACAUGGUCCAGGGGGCUGGAGACAUGUAGGACACUCCAGGUGUGGAAUGAGGCAUGCCCAGACUGGGCUGUGGUGUGCGCUGUGGCAAACUGGGAAGGCUCCACUUCUUGCUGGCCCUCCAGCCAUGUGAGGAGGAUGUCCACGGGUGAGAAGCCGGACACCUCGCACAGGAGCCAGGCAGGGGAGAAGGGGCCAGGCGUGGUCAGAGUGCGGAGGGUCAGAUUGCCGGGCACUGAGGCAGCUGUGGGGAGAAGCCAUGGUAUGCUCGUGAGCUGGAGCUCCAGGGGGUGGGUCCCCGGGGGAAGGAGGUGGUCCGGGUGCUGCGGGGCCCGCGGCUGCCCUCACCAUGCUCUCUCUGUGCCGUCAGGGACACUGGUGACCGCAGGCCAGGGCCGCUCAGUGUGCAGGUGACGUUGGAGCCCGAGGCCCACAGGGACCUGGGCAGGGCCAGGCGGCUGCUGUGGCUCCAGGAGCCGUUCAUGUGCGAGGUGGGUCUCUCCUCCACCCCCGCCAUGGGGCUGCCCGUUCACCUCCCAGGAGAAGUGGGCAUCCAGCAGGGCCUCCCCUGUGGCCAGGCAGGUGAACUCUGCCUUGUCCAAAAGACACUCUGUGGGGAGGCGAGGAGAGGUGUUGUCUUGGCUGGGGGGCAGGGGGGUUGAGGGCUGGCCAGUGGCACCCACCCAGCCCCAGGCCCGCCCUCUCCCGAUAGACCCCUGGACUCUGUUGCUUCCAGCAGUGCAGAGGGCAGGGGUCCGCCCACCACUGGCCUGGGGUCUCUCUCGCAAGCAGGCUGUUUCCGGUGCCCCUGAAAGCACUCUGCCCUUCUCCCCCUCUGUCCCAAGGGACUGACCUCUGCAGGGGUCCUUUGGACACGCUAGUGUCGGGGCUUCUGUCUGGCUGUGGCUGGUGGCCGGCACUGUGAAGAGCGGGGGGAGUCAGGGUCUCCUCCAGGUGCCACAGACAGCCGGGGCUGAGGCCUCCCAACAUCCUCAGCCCUAGGGGUGGCCGUCGCCUGGGGGUCGCCUCUGUCAGCGUCUGCGGCUCUGCUCUGGUCAUGGUGGGACCCUGGCUGCCUGCUUGCUGGUUGCGAGUCUCUACGCUAAGUGCCUGGGGGCCGCCCUCGUGACCAUCGGCAGCACAGCUUAUGGCGAGAAGGACUCGUGAGCCACUGGCCAUGGGUCUCUGACAGCCAGGGGUCAGCAACUUUUUCUAUAAAGGCCCAGAGAGCAGAUGUUUGAAGCUGUGCUGCCACCACACAGGGCUUCUGUCUGUCCCUCCUCCCGGUUCAUCCCUCUAAGCUGGACAGGCCAGCCCCGGCUGCAGAGCUGGACAGGCAGCCCCGGCUGCAGAGCUGGACAGGCAGCCCCGGCUGCAGGGAUCUGGCUUCACGAUGCAUCUGGCCUCCAGGCUGUGCUCAAGCUGCACUGUGUCUGGGUCAGGAGCCACGCCCUGAGGGGAGGGCUGGGCUCAUGUGGUCAGCAGGCCCUGGGCCCCAGAGCAGGAGGGCUCAGCCUGUGCUCAUGGAGCUCGGCCGCCUUCCUCAAGGCUGCUGGGCGGGUGGCGUGGCUGCAGCAGUCUGGUCAGGGCUGAAGGCUGAUGCUCGGGGAGGGCUGGGCUGUGCACAGUACCCCCGACCCCGAGGUGACCCUCUGAUCUGCAGGGCCCACCUCUCUCCUGACUUGCCCCGCCCUGUGUGCCUGACCAGGUCAGCCCACACCCAGGGGUCGUGCACAUCGGUGGCAGAUUCUGCCCUAGACUGUGGGCCUCAUGGCCCACAGGCUGGGUUGGGGG